GAGUCAGGAAAGGCGGUUAAAAAUUUGGAGAAGGUAUGUCUCACUUAUUACAUAUAUAACUUAAGUUAUAUUUUUUGAAAAUGUUGUGUUGUUUCUAACCAGAUUUUUUGUUUUCUUAUCAGGGCCAGAACCAGGAACCUGCACCUGCACCUGCACCUGUACCUAAACCUUCGACAUCGAAAGGUUCAAGUACAGGUUCCAAAGCGCCCAGACCGAGGCGCGGCAGACCAACCGGUGCAAACCGGACCCCUCUCUCCCUGGAAGAACGGCGCGCAAGAAAUGCGCAGUACGAAAGGGAGAGGAGGGAGGAUUUAGCCCAGGCCCAGGCUGAGCUAGCUGAGGCCGCUGGGUGCGACCCAAAUGUAUCGGAGGCCGACUUGUUGGCAUUUGUAGUCAAUAAGUUGAGUGCAGACAAAUUAGAAGUAAAGCAGAGCAUUGAAGAAUACAGGCGGUUAAACGCCAAGUUAGAGGCACA
Molecule: long non-coding RNA, 475 nt
Organism: Spodoptera frugiperda (fall armyworm)
Lineage: Eukaryota; Metazoa; Arthropoda; Insecta; Lepidoptera; Noctuidae
Exons: 3
Source: RefSeq, a predicted model, not a curated record